UGGGGGGGAGCUAAUACAUGCAAGUCGAGCGAAUGGAUUAAGAGCUUGCUCUUAUGAAGUUAGCGGCGGACGGGUGAGUAACACGUGGGUAACCUGCCCAUAAGACUGGGAUAACUCCGGGAAACCGGGGCUAAUACCGGAUAACAUUUUGAACCGCAUGGUUCGAAAUUGAAAGGCGGCUUCGGCUGUCACUUAUGGAUGGACCCGCGUCGCAUUAGCUAGUUGGUGAGGUAACGGCUCACCAAGGCAACGAUGCGUAGCCAACCUGAGAGGGUGAUCGGCCACACUGGGACUGAAACACGGCCCAAACUCCUACGGGAGGCAGCAGUAGGGAAUCUUCCGCAAUGGACGAAAGUCUGACGGAGCAACGCCGCGUGAGUGAUGAAGGCUUUCGGGUCGUAAAACUCUGUUGUUAGGGAAAAACAAGUGCUAGUUGAAUAAGCUGGCACCUUGACGGUACCUAACCAAAAAGCCACGGCUAACUACGUGCCAGCAGCCGCGGUAAUACGUAGGUGGCAAGCGUUAUCCGGAAUUAUUGGGCGUAAAGCGCGCGCAGGUGGUUUCUUAAGUCUGAUGUGAAAGCCCACGGCUCAACCGUGGAGGGUCAUUGGAAACUGGGAGACUUGAGUGCAGAAGAGGAAAGUGGAAUUCCAUGUGUAGCGGUGAAAUGCGUAGAGAUAUGGAGGAACACCAGUGGCGAAGGCGACUUUCUGGUCUGUAACUGACACUGAGGCGCGAAAGCGUGGGGAGCAAACAGGAUUAGAUACCCUGGUAGUCCACGCCGUAAACGAUGAGUGCUAAGUGUUAGAGGGUUUCCGCCCUUUAGUGCUGGAGUAACGCAUUAGCACUCGCUGGGAGUACGCGCAGCUGAACUCAAAGAUGACGGUCCGCACAGCCGUGCAGCCAUGUGCUUAAUUCGAAGUCAAAC
Molecule: ribosomal RNA, 928 nt
Filed under: Bacillus sp. (in: firmicutes)
Lineage: Bacteria; Bacillati; Bacillota; Bacilli; Caryophanales; Bacillaceae
Description: bacterial SSU rRNA
Rfam family: Bacterial small subunit ribosomal RNA
Source: RNAcentral